This is a non-coding RNA of Parasteatoda tepidariorum (common house spider), 576 nucleotides long. The record is from RefSeq and is a predicted model, not a curated record. Lineage: Eukaryota; Metazoa; Arthropoda; Arachnida; Araneae; Theridiidae.
UUNAUGUGUACAUUUUGCAUGAAAAGGAAAACUCUCCUCUACCAUUCAGUGCUGCUCAGUCAAAAUCAAUACCAAGAUUACAACCGGAGACAAGACAAAAUGGAACGAAUCUGCCUGGAUAUUCCACCAACUUGCCAGUUUACAACUGCAAUAGUCUGCAAUCAGAAACAAGACAAAUGAAUAUGGGUGUUUCUAGAAAUUUAGCUGACUCUACUCCACAAGCUUUAAAUGCCAAAGUCUCUACUAUUAUUGCAAGUGAUAACAAUGCAAAUCAAUCUAACUUAGAAAUAAAUUCCAAUGGUUUGAGCUCUGAAUUUCAAGAUCUUAAUAUCUCAAAACAUAGCACUGCAAGAAAGCAAACUAAAUCUGUAAAAUCACGUCUUCCCAGAAAGAAUUAAUUUCUCUAUAUUUGAAUAAAUUAUUUUGAAUUUUUCCAGUUCCAGGUAUGUUUGUUAUUUGUAUAAUGUAAAUAAUGUGUUAUUUUUUUGAAGAAGAAAAAAUUUUAUUAAUUGUAUAUAUUUUAUAUGAGAUUUCUUUUUAUUGUAAAAAUAAAAGAUAUAUUCUGUGAAUACUUAA